RNAcentral lists this unclassified non-coding RNA (379 nucleotides) under uncultured bacterium. RNAcentral describes it as "contains 16S-23S intergenic spacer region". The record is from RNAcentral.
UCGCGGCUUAUCACCGGCAGUCUCCUUAGAGUGCUCAACUAAAUGGUAGCAACUAAGGACGGGGGUUGCGCUCGUUGCGGGACUUAACCCAACACCUCACGGCACGAGCUGACGACAGCCGUGCAGCACCUGUGACCGACGCCCUUGCGGGCACACCACCUUUCGAUGGCUUUUCCGGCCAUGUCAAGCCCUGGUAAGGUUCUUCGCGUUGCGUCGAAUUAAACCACACGCUCCGCUGCUUGUGCGGGCCCCCGUCAAUUCCUUUGAGUUUUAGCCUUGCGGCCGUACUCCCCAGGCGGGCCACUUAACGCGUUAGCUGCGGCGCGGAGGGGGUCGAUACCCCCCACACCUAGUGGCCAUCGUUUACGGCGUGGACUAC